This 486-nucleotide ribosomal RNA is filed under the name uncultured bacterium. Its description in RNAcentral is "partial 16S ribosomal RNA". It matches the Rfam family "Bacterial small subunit ribosomal RNA", at positions 30 to 507 of the family's 1533-position model. The record is from RNAcentral.
AUUGAACGCUGGCGGCAUGCCUUACACAUGCAAGUCGAACGGCAGCACGGGUGCUUGCCCCUGGUGGCGAGUGGCGCACGGGUGAGUAAUACAUCGGAACAUGUCCUGUAGUGGGGGAUAGCCCGGCGAAAGCCGGAUUAAUACCGCAUACGAUCUACGGAUGAAAGCGGGGUACCUUCGGGCCUCGCGCUAUAGGGUUGGCCGAUGGCUGAUUAGCUAGUUGGUGGGGUAAAGGCCUACCAAGGCGACGAUCAGUAGCUGGUCUGAGAGGACGACCAGCCACACUGGGACUGAGACACGGCCCAGACUCCUACGGGAGGCAGCAGUGGGGAAUUUUGGACAAUGGGCGAAAGCCUGAUCCAGCAAUGCCGCGUGUGUGAAGAAGGCCUUCGGGUUGUAAAGCACUUUUGUCCGGAAAGAAAUCCUUUGCCCUAAUACGGUCGGGGGUUGACGGUACCGGAAGAAUAAGCACCGGCUAACUACGUG